RNAcentral lists this ribosomal RNA (326 nucleotides) under uncultured prokaryote. RNAcentral's name for it is "bacterial SSU rRNA". It matches the Rfam family "Bacterial small subunit ribosomal RNA", at positions 26 to 352 of the family's 1533-position model. The record is from RNAcentral.
AGAUUGAACGCUAGCGGCAUGCCUAACACAUGCAAGUCGAACGGUAACAGGCCCUUCGGGGUGCUGACGAGUGGCGGACGGGUGAGUAAUGCGUAGGAAUCUACCCACGAGUGGGGGAUAGCCCGGAGAAAUCCGGAUUAAUACCGCAUAUGCCCUACGGGGUAAAGCGGGGGAUCGUAAGACCUCGCGCUGGUGGAUGAGCCUACGUCCGAUUAGUUAGUUGGUGGGGUAAAGGCCUACCAAGGCUACGACGGUCGCNGUCGUGAGAGGACGGACCACGCCNCCACUGCGACUGAGAUACGGGCCAGACUCCUACGGGAGGCAGC